GACGAACGCUGGCGGCGUGCUUAACACAUGCAAGUCGAACGGAAAGGCCCUGCUUUUGUGGGGUGCUCGAGUGGCGAACGGGUGAGUAACACGUGAGUAACCUGCCCUUGACUUUGGGAUAACUUCAGGAAACUGGGGCUAAUACCGGAUAGGAGCUCCUGCUGCAUGGUGGGGGUUGGAAAGUUUCGGCGGUUGGGGAUGGACUCGCGGCUUAUCAGCUUGUUGGUGGGGUAGUGGCUUACCAAGGCUUUGACGGGUAGCCGGCCUGAGAGGGUGACCGGCCACAUUGGGACUGAGAUACGGCCCAGACUCCUACGGGAGGCAGCAGUGGGGAAUAGUGCACAAUGGGCGGAAGCCUGAUGCAGCAACGCCGCGUGCGGGAUGACGGCCUUCGGGUUGUAAACCGCUUUCGCCUGUGACGAAGCGUGAGUGACGGAAAUGGGUAAAGAAGCACCGGCUAACUACGUG
This 468-nucleotide ribosomal RNA is filed under the name uncultured bacterium. RNAcentral describes it as "partial 16S ribosomal RNA". It matches the Rfam family "Bacterial small subunit ribosomal RNA", at positions 28 to 507 of the family's 1533-position model. The record is from RNAcentral.